This is a long non-coding RNA of Cataglyphis hispanica, 7222 nucleotides long. RefSeq lists it as uncharacterized. The record is from RefSeq and is a predicted model, not a curated record. NCBI's taxonomy places the organism in Eukaryota, Metazoa, Arthropoda, Insecta, Hymenoptera, Formicidae. The transcript is spliced from 2 exons.
AAAUUAUGUUAUUAAUUAUAUAUAUAUAUAUAUAUAUUAUAUAUAUAUAUAUAUAUAUAUAUAUAUAUAUAUAUAUAUAUAUAAGAUACAAAAAGUUACAAAAUAUUAUAAUUAAGAUUACACAAUUAAGAUUUUUAGUAGAUUGUAAAUCUGAUGAUCCCAAAGAUGUAGAAUGACAAGCAGAUCGCUGAAUAAUUCGAUGGCGAAUAUUGAAUCAUUAAUGUAUAUCCAAUCAUUACAUUGAUCUCAAAAGAUUCAAAAUGAUCAAGAACCUGAAUUUUCAAACAUUUGAUUAAUAAGUGGUAUAAAUUUAUUCGUCUUGUACGUAUGCUCCAAUUUUUUCCUUAUUUAAUUAAUUUUAAAUAUAAAAGAAAGUGCAGUCAAAAUUGUAUUUUUUAAUUCUGAUUAUUAAUUGUUAUUAAUUGUUAAUGUGAUUUUAGAUACUAAUAUAACAGUUAUUAAUGUAUAUAAUGUUCUCUUCCAGAAAUUACUAUUCAACUUAUGGAUCGUUACUUAUAUAGUGUUAUAAUUUUGUUAGCAGUUUAUUCUUUGAUUUUGUUUUUAUUUCUCUGUUUAUAUUGUAUAGUUGAUAUUAUAAAUAAUUUUAUAUAUAGUUAUAUAACAUUCAAUUUUAUAAAUAAUUUUAAAAAUAAGUAUAUUUAACAUUAAAUAAAACAUAAAAUUUUGUUAUCAUACAUUUACAUUUUCGAAGCUUAAUGUAAAAUAUUAAGGAAAAAUAUUCUAAAUUGACAAAGAAAUCUCUCGAAGAGGAAAUUAGAAAGAAUUCUCUCGUAUAUGAAACAAAUUUAGAAUAUACUUUACAUUAUAAAUACAUUUGAAAAAGAACAGCCAAGGUAGUGCAAGAUUAAAUAAUCACACAAGAUUGUUUUUAAUAUAUUCUGCGUUUUCUUGUUUAACAUGUUUCAAUGAUAUAAUUUUAAUCAACAUAAACGAGACGCAAUAUGAUCGCCUUUUCGAGACUUGCCAGUGAUCGAGGCUCCGUCCUUCGAUCCACUCGAUCUCUUCCGCGUGGACGGCGGCGUGAUAAUCGGCGGGGAGAUAAUUAUCGAUUCUGUAUAUAAUGUAAUAAUGAUAUUAUCGUCACUAUAAUUAUCAAUCGCGAUCGAGCGCUCGCGCGUAGCGCGCUCGUUAUGUUGUUUCUCAUCGUUCUCUAUCAUGUGACCCCUCUUCCCCAUUUUUUUAUUAUUAUAUAAAACUGUCGUGAUGCGCGUCACGCACCAUGCAUUGACGAUCGCCGGAUGACGUAAAGGCAACUGAUAGAAAGAGAGAAAUUUAAAAUCCGUAUUUAAAAAAAAAAAAAUCGAAAAAACGAUUCGUGCGUAUAGUGAGUAAGUAUUAGCGGUUAAAGGAAAUCAAUUAAGAUGAAACACAGAAUAUAUGUAUACAUAUAUAAUAUGAAAUAUUAUAUGAGAGAGCGAAAGAGGGAGAGUAAGAGAGAGAGAGAGAGAGAGAGAGAGAGAGAGAGAAAAAGUUCUGGAAUUACAUUGUAACGUCGUCCACGGUUCCCCCAUAAAAAAAAAAAACGUUUCGCCGCGUAUUAACCUGUUUUCAGGAUCGAGCAUCCUCGCCAAUAUAGAAGACUUUAUUUUUAACGUUACUUAAGAUACAAAAGAGAGCGUUUGAAAACGAACGAGAGAAUGUUUGAGAGAGAAAGAGAAAAAGAGAGAGAGAGAGAGAGGGAGAGAGAAAGAAGGAGAAAGAGUGAGAAACGGUCAGAGUGCUCGAGACCGAAGCUACGAGGUGAGAUGCGUCGGCGUAACGAUGAGAUGCAUUCAAGACCCGUAAGGAUAAAAGCGAGAAAGAUGCAAAAAAAAGAGAGGCGCACACUCGGACUUUAAACGUAUAUACAUUGAUUAGGGACGGCGAACGAUGUAUCGAGGGGCAUCGAUAGUGUCGGUGACAGGAAUCGUUCACAUAAUCCGACACAUGUACCGCGUUGUUAAUGGAUAUUAACGAUAAAUUAAGAAUGGUAUCGAGGGAUUAAUACGUGUAAAUUAGACGACAGAAAGUAUCCACAUAGACGUAUACCUACAACCAAAAAUAUAUAUAAAUAAAAAAAAAUAUACACACAUACACACACACACACACACUCGUACACGCGCGUAACAUAUAGACACAUAACGAUUGAUGAUGCAAAAGUGGUGAUAUUUUGAGAAAGAAAUAUUCUCAAAAUAUUCUAGAGAAUAGAUUUGGAAAAAGAUUUCACCCAAGGGUGAAAAUGUUUGGGAAAUAUUCUUGGAAAGUCAAAAUAUUUUUCGAGAAUAGAUUCCAAAAAGACACUCUCCCGCUUCGCAUCAUCAUGAAUGAUAUUCGAGGAAAGUGGAUGUUGCAAGCGUGACAUAAUUGAUCUCACGAUUCGAUCUUCUAUCGAACGGAAACGUUUACGAGUCUCUGUGAUGAACUUGUGUUUCCUGAAGAGGACAAUAAACAGGGAACGGAUCUAACAAUACUUCGGGCAUCAUCUCGACAUGCUGGUUUUUUUCACGAAGGAUGCAUUUCGGCUCGAGGAAUCUCCAAACUUUGUAUCUUUGGUAUCUUCCUUUUAUUUUUAUGAUUCGUACGGUUCAGCUAGAGAGUUAACGUUAAUCAUUGCAAUCCAACUGGCGAACCGGGAAUCAUAAACUGCGAACUUAGACUCGAUGUUAAUCUCGUUAGAAUCGAGGACGAUGCCUCAAGCUACGUAGAUCCUAUUGAAAUAAAGAUGACAAAACUUCGGUUAUUUGCGCUUAUUUGCGCUUACAAGUAUCGGUAUUGCUUCUGAUAAUCAUCGAAAUAAUAUCUGAAAUGAUAAAUUACUGAAGUUUGAUGGGAAUAAAAUAACGUGUAUCAUAAAAAUACACUAAUAAUAUCUCAGACUUAUCGUCCAGAGAUCGUUAAUGUCUUCGUUCAACGUUUCGAGUCGUCGAUCGUCGUCCGACGGACAAAUAAGGAUUUAAUUGCCGAUUAAUGGGAUUUGAUAGUGUAAUAAUGUAUCCGACACACGCACACAUUCCGUUGUCGUCCGGUGUGUCGAUCUACGGUUCGAACACAUGCGUUUCCGUUUUUAAAGCGAAAAAACAUCUGACAUAAUAUAAUAUUUUAAUAUCAUAAUAGCGUAAUAUACUACAAUAUUAUACUAUUACAAUGAUAUAAAAUAUUAUACACGAUGAUAUUUAUAUAAUAAGAUGAUCGACGAAUGAGAGAUAUCGUGCCACAAAUGUUACGCGUAACAUCUAAAAAAGAAAGAAAGAGAUCAUAUUGAAAAUCUGAAAUCGAUCGACUAUUUCAUAUAUUAACGUAAAAAACAAAGAAUUUUCCACGUUAAUGCUCGUCGAGAAAAACAAUCACAUCGAUAGUCAACAACAAAAAGUCGUGUUGAUCUUCGUGUUGACAUUCGUGAGAGAAUCACGUCAAUUAUUAAUAUAUUUCCAAUGAAAAUUUAUACGCAUUGUACAGUGUUUAUAUAGUUGGUAAAUAAGAACGGGUAAGCUUUUCUUUCUUUUUUGUAACAGACUGUACGAAUCGCGUGAAUUUUAUCCAUAAUAUUUACGAAUGUUUUAUGCUGUAAUAUUGCUUCCAUCUUUCGAUAUACGCAUUUCACGUAUAUAAUCGCGCGUGCUUUAACAAAUUUCUUAUGAUCUCCGCGAUACAUAUAUACAAAAUUCUGAAAUUGCAUUAAGUGGUAAAAUUCAUUAACACUUGAUUCUUGACUGUCAAUCGACAUAAUUUUAAAAUGUUUUUUUUUUACGUUUUUUAUAUUAUUGAUUAAAUUCUCAAUAAUAAUCUUUUUUGUCGAGUGUAUCUUUAUUUAAAUUAAAUAAACUUAUACAAUAUUAAUUUUUUUAAAUAAUUUUAGUAAUAAUCGAUAGAUUUUUAAAAAUUGUUUAUUUUACACAUUUUACAAAUUAUCUCCUUAUUACACAAUAAAAUACAAAAAAUUGAAGAUAUAUUAUCUCUGAAAGUACUAUAUUAUCAAAAGAAAAAAUACUACAGGCAGUCAAGAAUAUGAAAAUUUAUUUUGUCUUUUUUUAUUGCUGAAAUUUUUUUUAUGCUGAAAAGUCGAUCAAUCUUGACAGAUUUAACUUAAACUACGAAUGUGAUGAGUCGUCCAAAAAUGAGCUCUUUCUUUUUUGUCCACUUGAAAUCGAAUAUGCGAAAGAUCUGCCAUCCUAAGAAUCUUUCAAAAGAUGAAAAUGUCAACGAGAAUUGAACUGUAAUUUGCUAUAUUUAUAGACGUUAAUUUAUCUCGAGCAAAAGAAUUUCUUCGAAGAAAAGUUUUCCUUGGAAGAAAAUCGGAUAUCUCCUUUUUCUCUUAUUUAUCGAGAAUAUGUGUCGGAAAAGCAUGACGAAUAUGGUGCCAAAAUUGUCGUAUAGCAAUAAUUAGUAGGAUUAAUAUCAGACUGACUUAUAAUAAAGUGUUCAAGAGUUUAUCGAAAAGUGAAAUAUCAAUGAAAGAUUUAUCGCUGGAAUAUCACGAUUGAUUAUCGCGUGUUUGCAAUUAAUAAUAAACGAUAUAUAAUUGUUGAUCAUGAUAUUAUACUCAACACCAAGGAAAGCACAAUUUAUGCACAUACAAAUUCCGAAAAUUACUGCGCUAGAAUACAUAAACGAUGAAUAUAUUUAUACGGAUGGUAAAUUACUUUAAAAUUAUAUAUAAAAAAAGAGAGCGAUAAAAUUUUUAUCUUGAGUGAUUUGAGCAGUUUAACUCUGUGACUUUGCACUUAUUAUUAAAUUUCUGCGAGUGAUUAUUUAUGAUAAGACGCAAAUUUUACAAUUUUGUUUAUUGUAUCAAAGAAGUUCUUUGGAACGUGAAAUUAAUGUCUGAAUGGAAAGAAUCAGAACAUAUAGAAAAGAUUAUAAUUAUUUUUAAUAAUGAUACGAAAAGCUAUAUCGGGAUGAUAAUCUUUCUUACGCAAAAAAUUACGUUUUCUACGAUUCAUUCAUGAGGGAAAACAAAUUGUUUCAGUAAUUUUAAAGUUUGACUUUAUUUUAAUUGCUUGGAAUCUCGUUGACAUGACAAAUCUCGUUAAAGAGAAUGGCAGGAAUAAUCAGAUACAUACAUACAUGUAUACAUAUACAUAUAUACAUAGAUACAGUCACAUACAGUCACGCGCACAUAUACACAAAGACACAAAAUAUAUCUAAUAAGACAUCGGUUAAGAUCUGACAGCGAAAAAAAAUAAUAAGAUACCUACUUACUAAUUAUUAUAGGCGAGAACACACACGUGCAGAUUUAAGAAUUUAUGGAGGACCUUCUGUUGCUCGAAUUAUUGCAUUGUCUACUAAAUAUAAAUUUUAUUAUAUAAAUUCUGUCGAGGCGCGUCUCCGAGCGAGAGUAGAUGUUUCUUUUUCUCCUCGACCUUCAUACCUUCCUGGAUUUACGAGAAUAUUCGAAAGAGAGAGAUACACAACACAAAUAGAUAGAGGAAAGUGCGUAACUGAGGAAUGCAUUUUUGCGCGUAUAAUUGAGCUACUAUCACAAUAUCAAAUCGCUUCUCAUAUAAUUCUACAAAGAUUCUCUAUUAUGUCUUAGGAUCAUCGCGAAUGCCCUCUCAUUCAGAUUCUGCAACAAAUGCGAUACAAAUAAAUCGAUUUAUCUUUAUCUUGUCUCUCUGUUAAAUAAUCUCUGUUAAACUUCUGGUAAAUUAACGCCCAGAUACAAAUGGAAGACAAUGUAGGAGGUAUGAUCGCUUCUUGUACGAUUAUCUCUUGAAAUGUAAGCGCUUUUAUUUAUACACGUAUACAUGUGUAUGUGCCGAAAAGUGUUUCGUCAUCAUCACUUUAUCGCGAUCAAGUGUUAUCUAGUUGGAGUUUAAUCGAGUUUAAGCUGAUAAUGCGUCUCAUAUUUUUUAUCUUAUCUCUUAAGAAAUAUAAAUUUUAAAAACAGGAUAGAAUACAGGUUCACUCAAUUGCUAUUUUUAGAAAAACAAGUAAAAUAUUUUGCAUAAAAAAUAGUUUCCCAAAUUUAUUUAAUAUAUUACAUAUAUAUUUAAAAAUUAAAUAAGGAAUGCUUUAAACAAGAGAACGCUGAAGACAUGUAGACCAUGUUAUAUUUUAUCGUAUCUUUCAUGUGUAUUCUUUUAUAAACCUUUUUUUCAGGCAAUAUAAAAAAAUAAUAAUGUCAUACUCCACAAAAAAGGAACGAUUACAUAAUUAUCUAGAAAUCACAAAAUACUUAAAAUUUUUGUAAUACCAGAUAUCAAUUCGAGCAAAUUUGAUCGAAAAAUUAAAUGGUCCUCUUAUUAGUAAAUUGCAUUAUUCAAUAAGUACUGAAAGCGGAUCUAAAAACGCUAAGUAAACUGUCAAAUUAUUUAGGAUUUUAACGAUUUAUCUCCAUUUACGCACUUUCUUGAUGAAUUGUAGCAGAGAAUAAAAGAUCGAACAGGGUCGAGACACUCUAGCUCGGAGACGUAUCCCAAUAGUUGGCCUAGUAUCAAGUUUCAUAUUUUUCGCCCCCUCCCCCACCCCGGGUAUGCAGUGAAUCGUCGAACGAUUGAUCGUCUAUUGUAUGAUUAUUGACAUUCUUCCAGAAAUUUUAUUGAUAAAUAGAUAUAUAAACUUUAUCGCUACCGUUGAACAUAAUAAUAUUUGGGGAUAUAUGAUUAGGGCGAUACCUUCGGUAUUUAUUGGGGACACCAAGAAAACUAAAUCGAGAGAGAAAAAAGGAAGAGUAAGGAAAAAGAUAAAAGGGAGAUUGAAAAAAACAAUAACGGGAUUGAUAGAAAUAUAUAUAUAUAUAUAUAUAUAUAUAUAUAAGAAAGGGGGAGUUAUAGAGGGGUACACACAGUCAAGGGAAAGAGCGGGGGCGGAUGAUAAAAUAAAAAAAGAUAGUGUAUAAUGAUGUAACGAGUCUUUCCAGGAAAGAAAAGAAAAGAAGAGAGGGCAGAGAUAUAAAAUAAGAAAAAGAGAGAGAAAAGAAUCUCUUCCUUGCAUUGUGAAAUCGUAAAAACCAAGGGAGAACCAAGAAUUAGAUUAAAUAUUGUAUGUAUGCGAGCGGAAAUAUAUGGUAAGCAAGAGAGUAUAAAAAAAAAGAAAAAAGAAAAACCCUUUACGUUUUCUCACUUAUUACGUAAACGAUAUACGUUAAUAAUGGAUAUGUAUAUUAUGAUUACGAUGAUUGCUCUAUUUCUUGUUAUUGUUCCUCGGUUGUAUGCGGAGAAGUUUAAGAGUGAUCCAUUUGUACAAUCAUUGAGUCAUUAAAAUAUGAUUAUUCAUUAUGGAA